CCCUUGUGGAGGAGGACGCCGAAGGUGGGGCUAAUGACUGGGGUGAAGUCGUAACAAGGUAGCCGUACCGGAAGGUGCGGCUGGAUCACCUCCUAACAGGGAGACAACAAAAUGUUUAAUAUUAUUAUUUUGUCACCUUAGGUCGAUCGGUAUCUCACGUUUUUAAUUUAUUAAGAAUUUCAUUUCCUAAGUUUUUCUAGGUCACACCCAUUAUUUUUCCUGGGCCAUUAGCUCAGGUGGUUAGAGCGCACCCCUGAUAAGGGUGAGGUCCCUGGUUCAAGUCCAGGAUGGCCCAUAUCUCUAUGUUGGGGGUAUAGCUCAGUUGGUAGAGCGCCUGCUUUGCAAGCAGGAUGUCAGCGGUUCGAGUCCGCUUACCUCCACUGAUUACCACCUCUUCCAUAAUCUGUAGAAAGGAAAUGUUUUGUGUUGUGAUCAGAUUCUGAACGAAUCUAGCUUCCUAAUGAAAUCAUUAAGAUGCUGGACUCAUUGAAUUAAUUUCAUUGUUUUCAGAGAACCUUGACAACUGCAUAGAUUUUUUUUAAAGACAAUAAGCAUCUUUAAUGAUGCAGAUUUAUUAUUUGUGCGAAUGCAUUAAUAACAAUUCUAUUAAGCUGAUGCUUCAAAUUUGAAGUUAUUGGUCAAGCUACAAAGGGCUCACGGAGGAUACCUAGGCACACAGAG
RNAcentral lists this unclassified non-coding RNA (681 nucleotides) under uncultured Prochlorococcus sp. Its description in RNAcentral is "partial may contain 16S ribosomal RNA, 16S-23S ribosomal RNA intergenic spacer, and 23S ribosomal RNA". The stretch from base 1 to 96 matches the Rfam family "Bacterial small subunit ribosomal RNA", at positions 1438 to 1533 of the family's 1533-position model. Lineage: Bacteria; Bacillati; Cyanobacteriota; Cyanophyceae; Synechococcales; Prochlorococcaceae. The record is from RNAcentral.